Molecule: ribosomal RNA, 1127 nt
Filed under: human gut metagenome
Description: bacterial LSU rRNA
Rfam family: Bacterial large subunit ribosomal RNA
Source: RNAcentral
UCAACGCUAAUCGGAUCAGGGUUAGUCGGGUCCUAAGGCUCAGCCGAACGGUGAUGCCGAUGGCAGAACAGGUUAAUAUUCCUGUACUAGCAUUAAGAGUGACGUGGAGACGGAGGAGUGACAACGCCGCGGACUGACGGAAUAGUCCGUUAAAGGGUGUAGAUGUUGAUUAUCCCAGGCAAAUCCGGGAUAAGAGUCGAACCUGACAGUAUACCAAUUUCCUCGGAAAACGGUAAUAGUGCGUGUAAACAUACUCCCAAGAAAAUCCGCUAAACUUAAUCUUAAUGGUACCCGUACCGCAAACGGACACACGUAGUCGGGUUGAAUAUACUCAGGCGCUUGAGUGAAUCACGGUUAAGGAACUAGGCAAAUUGACCCUGUAACUUCGGGAUAAAGGGUCCCUACCCGGUGACGGGAGGGCGCAGAGAAUAGGUCCAGGCAACUGUUUAACAAAAACACAGGGCUGUGCAAAAUUGAAAGAUCACGUAUACAGCCUGACACCUGCCCGGUGCUGGAAGGUUAAGAGGAGAUGUCAUCGCAAGAGAAGCAUUGAAUUGAAGCCCCAGUAAACGGCGGCCGUAACUAUAACGGUCCUAAGGUAGCGAAAUUCCUUGUCGGGUAAGUUCCGACCUGCACGAAUGGUGUAAUGAUCUGGACACUGUCUCAACCGUGAGCUCAGUGAAAUUGUAGUAUCGGUGAAGAUGCCGAUUACCCGCGAUGGGACGAAAAGACCCCGUGAACCUUUACUAUAGCUUAACAUUGAAUUUGGGUAAUUGAUGUGUAGGAUAGGCCGGAGGCUUUGAAGCAGGUACGCCAGUAUUUGUGGAGCCGCUGUUGAAAUACGGCCCUUUGGUUAUUUGAGUUCUAACUCGCUGAUGCGAGGACACUGUUUGGUGGGUAGUUUGACUGGGGUGGUCGCCUCCAAAAACGUAACGGAGGCUUCUAAAGGUGCCCUCACGCCGAUUGGUAACCGGCGGCAGAGUGUAAUGGCAUAAGGGCGCUUGACUGGGAGACUUACAAGUCGAUCAGGUAGGAAACUAGAGCAUAGUGAUCCGGUGUUUCUGUAUGGAAAGGACAUCGCUCAAAGGAUAAAAGGUACUCCGGGGAUAACAGGCUGAUCCCUCCCA